UCAAUUUGAUGAUCAAAGACAUUUGUCAAUCCAUUGAAAAUUAUUAAUGUUAUUUCAUAUCCCAAUAGGUUUUGAUUGA
This is a small nucleolar RNA of Cryptomeria japonica (Japanese cedar), 79 nucleotides long. RefSeq annotates it as small nucleolar RNA snoR14. The record is from RefSeq and is a predicted model, not a curated record. Lineage: Eukaryota; Viridiplantae; Streptophyta; Pinopsida; Cupressales; Cupressaceae. The transcript has a single exon.